GGCUGUCUCUGCAAAUUAGAGUUUGUUACAAUAGUGCUACCACUCACUAUUCAAUAUAGAGUACUACUAAUUAACGCCGUGCUGGAAUCAAAUCAUAUCAAAACAGCUUUUUGCGUUCCGCCUUUGUUUUCUUCUCCUCUGCUCUCACCUCUCUCUAACGAAAAUGGAGAAGGUUAAAGUUAAGAGUGAGAGUGAGUUGUGUCUGAACAAAGACAUUAUCUUUGAUAUUCUUUAAAAAAAUUGAAGUGAAGCAGUUGUUUCGUAUGAAGCGCGUUUCAAAAGAUUGGAAGCAGAUUAUUUCAAGUCGUUCAUUCAUGAAAGCUCAAUUAAAAAACGCAAAUCUCGUGUUAAACGGCUUCAUUGUUCAAGACAGGUAUAUGUUGUGCAAACACGAUAUCAAAACGGUUAGUUACAUUCCAGUGGAAACAAGAAACGGUGGUAAAGUAGUGCACCAAACCGUUUUCACUUUUCUUCCUGAACAAGUUGUUGUUUUGGCGUCGUGCAAAGGGAUUAUAUGUUGCCGUAGCUGUUUGCCUUCUCCAAAUCCAACCAGAUUUUAUCUCUGCAAUCCUUGUAAUAGAGAUUGGAUUCAAUUGGAUUGGCCUCCUCAAUGUGACAUAACAGAUAGCAUAGCAUUUGCUUUUGAUUUUGAAUGUGAAUUUGAGCCAUCCAAAUUCAAAUUAAAAUUGGUUAGAGUGAAACGCCAUGAGGAGGAUGAAUCUUCUCUUUCACAUUUGAUUUGUACUCACCAGCGACAAAAGAUUGGAGGAAAUCAACUGAGAUAUGCUACUGCAACAGCGAUUUGAUUAAAAACAAAGGCAUAUACAUUGGAGGUAUUUUAUAUUGGCUUACAGAAGGUGAUCAAAUACUCACUUUUGAUGUGGAGAAUGAGCUUUCUUUGUUGAUUUCUGUACCAGUUCCAUCUGUUGAGUUUAGAUCGGUUCCUGAAGCUUGCAUAAGAGAAAAUGAAGGAAAACUUAACUAUGUUCAGGUAUCAGAAGAAGGACUUCAUGUAUGAGUCUAAAUGGAAUCUCAAACAUGGUAAACGUUUGGAGGAUUUUGAAGCAGAAUAUCCACGCUUCUUUUUGAAUUUGAAGAAUCGAAUUUCUGAGCGGAGGAGUGUGGAUUCAAGUCCUUGGAUGAAUCCUCUUGGUUUCAAAGAUGGUAUUUUACUAAUCAAGGUUUGCAUACAAUUGUACAUCUAUGACAUCAACAUUGACAACAUUACUGAAGCUUGUUCAUUUCUACAACUCAACCCACAAUCCAUGUCUCAUCCUACAGUGUUUCCACAUUCCUUAAGCUUGUUUCCCUUGAAUGAUGAUAUUGCUGAUGCUAAUUAGUUUUUAAUUAACUCCCUUUUUAUUCCUAUCUAGUUAGUUUUUAUAAUCAGAUUAAUAUAGAGCUUAGUGAAUGUUUUCGAAUAUAGUAUAUAUAGUGAAAAAUGAGUGAAUUACUAGACUCGUGAUUUUGAUAGUGUAUUUAGCAUACCUUGUGAAUAAAAA
Long non-coding RNA from Cicer arietinum (chickpea), 1502 nucleotides. RefSeq lists it as uncharacterized. The record is from RefSeq and is a predicted model, not a curated record. NCBI's taxonomy places the organism in Eukaryota, Viridiplantae, Streptophyta, Magnoliopsida, Fabales, Fabaceae.